RNAcentral lists this ribosomal RNA (497 nucleotides) under uncultured bacterium. RNAcentral describes it as "bacterial SSU rRNA". It matches the Rfam family "Bacterial small subunit ribosomal RNA", at positions 899 to 1397 of the family's 1533-position model. The record is from RNAcentral.
ACUCAAAGGAAUUGACGGGGGCCCGCACAAGCGGCGGAGCAUGUGGAUUAAUUCGAUGCAACGCGAAGAACCUUACCUGGGUUUGACAUACACUGGACGGCCGUGGAGACACGGUUUCCGUAAGGCUGGUGUACAGGUGGUGCAUGGCUGUCGUCAGCUCGUGUCGUGAGAUGUUGGGUUAAGUCCCGCAACGAGCGCAACCCUUGUCCCAUGUUGCCAGCGGGUUAUGCCGGGGACUCAUGGGAGACUGCCGGGGUCAACUCGGAGGAAGGUGGGGAUGACGUCAAGUCAUCAUGCCCCUUAUGUCCAGGGCUUCACACAUGCUACAAUGGCCGGUACAAAGGGCUGCUAAGCCGUGAGGUGGAGCGAAUCCCACAAAGCCGGUCUCAGUUCGGAUCGGGGUCUGCAACUCGACCCCGUGAAGUCGGAGUCGCUAGUAAUCGCAGAUCAGCAAUGCUGCGGUGAAUACGUUCCCGGGCCUUGUACACACCGCCCGU